This 953-nucleotide non-coding RNA is filed under the name Erethistes jerdoni. RNAcentral's name for it is "12S rRNA". It matches the Rfam family "Bacterial small subunit ribosomal RNA". The record is from RNAcentral. Lineage: Eukaryota; Metazoa; Chordata; Actinopteri; Siluriformes; Sisoridae.
CAAAGGCUUGGUCCUGACUUUACUAUCAGCUUUAGACCAAUUUAUACAUGCAAGUAUCCGCACUCCUGUGAGAAUGCCCUCAACCCUCUGCCCGAGGACGAGGAGCAAGCAUCAGGCACAGUACUACCUGGCCCAAGACGCUUUGCUACGCCACACCCUCAAGGGAUCUCAGCAGUAAUAGACAUUAAGCCAUAAGUGAAAACUUGACUUAGUUAGGACUAAAAGGGUCGGUAAAAUUCGUGCCAGCCACCGCGGUUAUACGAAAGACCCUAGUUGAUAGCCACGGCGUAAAGAGUGGUUAAGAAGAUCUAAAAUAAAGCUAAAGACCCUCUAGGCCGUCAUACGCACUCCGAGGGAUCGAGCCCCAAAAACGAAAGUGGCUUUAAAUUUUAACUACCUGACCCCACGAAAGCUAAGAAACAAACUGGGAUUAGAUACCCCACUAUGCUUAGCCUUAAACCUAGAUGUGCCGCUACAAACACAUUCGCCAGGGUACUACGAGCAUAGCUUAAAACCCAAAGGACUUGGCGGUGUCUCAGACCCACCUAGAGGAGCCUGUUCUAUAAUCGAUAACCCCCGUUAAACCUUACCACUUCUUGUUUAUCCCGCCUAUAUACCGCCGUCGUCAGCUUACCCUGUGAAGGAUAAAUAGUAAGCAAAAUAGGUCCACCCAAAAACGUCAGGUCAAGGUGUAGCGUACGAAGUGGGCAGAAAUGGGCUACAUUUUCUAUAACAGAAUAUUACGAAACGGCACCCUGAAAUACGUGCCCGAAGGUGGAUUUAGUAGUAAAAAGAAAAUAGAGAGUUCUUUUGAAUUAGGCUCUGAGACGCGCACACACCGCCCGUCACUCUCCCCAACGCAAUAACCACACUAAUUCAUAAUAGCAUAAGCAGCAACACGGGGAGGCAAGUCGUAACAUGGUAAGUGUACCGGAAGGUGUACUUGGAAUAAU